GACGAACGCUGGCGGCGUGCCUAAUACAUGCAAGUAGAACGCACAGUUUAUACCGUAGCUUGCUACACCAUAGACUGUGAGUUGCGAACGGGUGAGUAACGCGUAGGUAACCUGCCUGGUAGCGGGGGAUAACUAUUGGAAACGAUAGCUAAUACCGCAUAAUAUUAAUUAUUGCAUGAUAAUUAAUUGAAAGGUGCAAUUGCACCACUACCAGAUGGACCUGCGUUGUAUUAGCUAGUAGGUGAGGUAACGGCUCACCUAGGCGACGAUACAUAGCCGACCUGAGAGGGUGAUCGGCCACACUGGGACUGAGACACGGCCCAGACUCCUACGGGAGGAAGCAGUAGGGAAUCUUCGGCAAUGGACGAAAGUCUGACCGAGCAACGCCGCGUGAGUGAAGAAGGUUUUCGGAUCGUAAAGCUCUGUUGCAAGAGAAGAACGGGUGUGAGAGUGGAAAGUUCACACUGUGACGGUAUCUUACCAGAAAGGGACGGCUAACUACGUG
RNAcentral lists this ribosomal RNA (505 nucleotides) under uncultured bacterium. RNAcentral's name for it is "partial 16S ribosomal RNA". It matches the Rfam family "Bacterial small subunit ribosomal RNA", at positions 28 to 507 of the family's 1533-position model. The record is from RNAcentral.